This is a long non-coding RNA of Carya illinoinensis, 1757 nucleotides long. RefSeq lists it as uncharacterized. The transcript has 2 exons. The record is from RefSeq and is a predicted model, not a curated record. Lineage: Eukaryota; Viridiplantae; Streptophyta; Magnoliopsida; Fagales; Juglandaceae.
GACGAUCUAGGAAUUUAUUUCUAAUUAUUACACGACAUCCUCCUGCACUUGGGAUAGCAUUAGUGCUACUCAUUUUUGAGUGAGUCACAUACAUACAUUGUGUGUGUAUAUAUAUAUUUAUGUAGCACACGCACACAUUUUAAGUACCUGGAAAAAGUAGAACUUUAUAAUUGGUCUUAUGGUAAUUUGGAUGAAAAUGAUUUGCUUGUCUAUGUAGUGUUUGAAAGGCUUAAGUUCUCCAUAAUAUCCGAAUUCAUUACCAUUUGCCCAAAUAUUGUUUAUAGAAAAGAGCAGAUUUCUUAUGCACUGAAAAAAUGAUAAGUGAAAUGAUAAGUUAAGGGCUUGGCUUGACCCUCUGUUCUUCAACUUCUGGGCAUAUCAUCAUGGCUUUCUCAUAUGCUAUCUUAUUGUCUUUUCUCCUAGUUUACACUAUAGUACUGUCGAUAUUAUGAUUAUUAUAUCACUUUCUUUUUCCUUGGGAAUGAAUAUAUAUAGGAUAUUACCAUAAAUAAAAUUGAUAUUCUCUGUAAUGCAUUCCUUUUUCAUGAUCUACAGGUGUUUAUGAGAAAGGGUAUAAUCUCAUCACUUCUCAUAAGUAAAAAGAUAAUAAUAAUAAUUUUAUAACUCAUACCUUUUUUUUAAGAGUAGUCUAUUCAACCUGAUAUGGAGGAGGGGAGUUAAUUAGAAGCAUCAGUUAUGUUAAGAAUUUAUUUGAAAUUAUAAGCUAGGUGAGUAAGUAAAGAAAUCAAUUCAGAUAUAUGGUUGAUUCUAUCACCAAAAAUGGCCACAUUUGGAUUGUGGAGAUCAUUAGUGAUUAAAUUUCAGUUGAGAUAGAUGUACUUCUUGGGAAAGAAGUUCUACUUGCUCUAGAGUUCAUUGGCUGCAGUUGCCUGUCAGAUUGCUUAUCUUGUUGUGGUGUUGAGAAUUCCUCAAUAAAUUUUAACAUCACUUAUAAAUUUGGCAGUUACUAAUUUGUUUGGUUGGAGUUCCAUUUAACAUCACAUUUUAACAGCUUCUUGAACAUCACAAUUGGUCAUUCUACUUACUUUCUUGAAAUGGUUUAAAAUUCUUCUGCACUGUUUGAGAUAGAUAACCUAUGGCAUCGAGCGCAUCAUCAUGUAUGGUUGAUGAUUUUUUCGAAUCACCAACCUGUUGGUGUGGAUUGAAAGCCUCAUUAAAGACCUCCAAAACUAACAAAAAUCCUGGAAGAAGGUUUUUCGCAUGCUCGAAGUACAACACGGGAGACGCAAAGUGCCAAUUCUUCUUAUAGGCAGAUAUAUUUCAAUUGGUAGAUGAAAAAAUUCGCGCAAGAGAGAAUGCAGUUCGAAAACGGGAGGAUUAUGUAUUGCUUCGUGAGUAUAAAGUUCAGGAAAAGGAAAAUAAACUACUUGAGAGAGAGGAUGUUCUUUACAAGCAAGAGGAGCAAAUUGUGAAGCAGGUUGUACAAAAUAGAUGUAUUCGCAUCUCUUUAUGUAUGUAUUGGGUGGUGUCAAUCGCUUAAAUAUUUGGUUGGCUUGGACCAUAAAUGUAAUUUGGUCGAAGUUAGACGGAAAUGGAUAGUUCGGAUUAGUCAUAUUUAAGCGUAUUUUUCUUUUUUGUUGGGAAGGGAGAUCUCAAGUUUUAGUAGUUUGUAAACUUUUGGUAUGUAAAAUGGAUAGGUUGCUAAAUGUUUAACAUGGCUAGAUGUUGAAUCGGUUGUAAACUUUUGAUAUGUAAAAUAGAUGGUUCAUGGAUGUUGAACAUGGCGUAGCCAUUCA